This 330-nucleotide RNase P RNA is filed under the name Massilia terrae. Its description in RNAcentral is "RNase P RNA component class A". It matches the Rfam family "Bacterial RNase P class A". Rfam says of the family: Ribonuclease P (RNase P) is a ubiquitous endoribonuclease, found in archaea, bacteria and eukarya as well as chloroplasts and mitochondria. Its best characterised activity is the generation of mature 5'-ends of tRNAs by cleaving the 5'-leader elements of precursor-tRNAs. Lineage: Bacteria; Pseudomonadati; Pseudomonadota; Betaproteobacteria; Burkholderiales; Oxalobacteraceae. The record is from RNAcentral.
GAAGCAGGCCAGGCAGCCGCUGGCUGGCGCCGCAAGGUGCUGGCGGGAGGAAGGUCCGGACUCCACAGAGCAGGGUGACGGUUAACGGCCGUCCGCUGAAAUCCCUUCGGGGUAUAAGGCGAGGAAUAGGGCCACAGAGACGAGCGUAUUAAGUUACGGUGAAACGCGGUAACCUCCACCUGGAGCAAUUCCAAAUAGGCACGCGUUGAUGUUGCUCGCGGAGCGUGCGGGUAGGAAGCUUGAGCGCCGGAGUAAUUCGGCGCCUAGAGGAAUGGCUGUCAUAGCGGGCAACCGCCGUAACAGAAUCCGGCCUAUCGGCCUGCUUUACAU